Molecule: ribosomal RNA, 1369 nt
Filed under: uncultured bacterium
Lineage: Bacteria
Description: bacterial SSU rRNA
Rfam family: Bacterial small subunit ribosomal RNA
Source: RNAcentral
GACGAACGCUGGCGGCGUGCCUAAUACAUGCAAGUAGAACGCUGAAGAGAGGAGCUUGCUCUUCUUGGAUGAGUUGCGAACGGGUGAGUAACGCGUAGGUAACCCGCCUUGUAGCGGGGGAUAACUAUUGGAAACGAUAGCUAAUACCGCAUAACAAUGGAUGACACAUGUCAUUUAUUUGAAAGGGGCAAUUGCUCCACUACAAGAUGGACCUGCGUUGUAUUAGCUAGUAGGUGAGGUAACGGCUCACCUAGGCGACGAUACAUAGCCGACCUGAGAGGGUGAUCGGCCACACUGGGACUGAGACACGGCCCAGACUCCUACGGGAGGCAGCAGUAGGGAAUCUUCGGCAAUGGGGGCAACCCUGACCGAGCAACGCCGCGUGAGUGAAGAAGGUUUUCGGAUCGUAAAGCUCUGUUGUAAGUCAAGAACGAGUGUGAGAGUGGAAAGUUCACACUGUGACGGUAGCUUACCAGAAAGGGACGGCUAACUACGUGCCAGCAGCCGCGGUAAUACGUAGGUCCCGAGCGUUGUCCGGAUUUAUUGGGCGUAAAGCGAGCGCAGGCGGUUUGAUAAGUCUGAAGUUAAAGGCUCUGGCUCAACCACAGUUCGCUUUGGAAACUGUCAAACUUGAGUGCGGAAGGGGAGAGUGGAAUUCCAUGUGUAGCGGUGAAAUGCGUAGAUAUAUGGAGGAACACCGGUGGCGAAAGCGGCUCUCUGGUCUGUAACUGACGCUGAGGCUCGAAAGCGUGGGGAGCGAACAGGAUUAGAUACCCUGGUAGUCCACGCCGUAAACGAUGAGUGCUAGGUGUUGGAUCCUUUCCGGGAUUCAGUGCCGCAGCUAACGCAUUAAGCACUCCGCCUGGGGAGUACGACCGCAAGGUUGAAACUCAAAGGAAUUGACGGGGGCCCGCACAAGCGGUGGAGCAUGUGGUUUAAUUCGAAGCAACGCGAAGAACCUUACCAGGUCUUGACAUCCCGAUGCUAUUUCUAGAGAUAGAAAGUUACUUCGGUACAUCGGUGACAGGUGGUGCAUGGUUGUCGUCAGCUCGUGUCGUGAGAUGUUGGGUUAAGUCCCGCAACGAGCGCAACCCCUAUUGUUAGUUGCCAUCAUUCAGUUGGGCACUCUAGCGAGACUGCCGGUAAUAAACCGGAGGAAGGUGGGGAUGACGUCAAAUCAUCAUGCCCCUUAUGACCUGGGCUACACACGUGCUACAAUGGUUGGUACAACGAGUUGCGAGUCGGUGACGGCAAGCUAAUCUCUUAAAGCCAAUCUCAGUUCGGAUUGUAGGCUGCAACUCGCCUACAUGAAGUCGGAAUCGCUAGUAAUCGCGGAUCAGCACGCCGCGGUGAAUACGUUCCCGGGCCU